GUAUGUGUGUAUGCAUACACACACAUAAUUUUUUUAGUUGUCGAUAGAUCUUUAUCUUAUUAUUAUUUUUUUCUUUUUGAUGGUGCUGGGAUUGAACCCAGGGCCCUGUGCAUUUGAGGAAAGUAUGCUACCAACUGAGUUGCAACCCCAGGCCUAGAUCUUUGUUUUAUUUAUUCCUUUGCAGUACUGAGAAUCGAACCCAGUGCCUCACACAUGCCUGGAAAGUGCACUACCACUGAGCCCCAGCCCCAGCCCCAUCAUUGGCAUUUUGAUGGGAAUAUUACCUAAGACUUCUUUGGCCCUCUACAACUUUGCUACUAUAGAUGCAAGAAGGAAAAGAACAAUACCAGCUCAUACACAAUAUUAUAUUCUGCCUUGAGUUUUGAUCAUUUACCUUUUUUAGAAUGUGAACAUGAGCACUUUAUAGUAUUGAUGAACCAGGAAGUCAGUUCCAUUAUUAAUAUUUUAUAGUAUUAGUAAGUGUGAAGAUCUUUGUUUUGAAAAGCAAUUGUUUUGUGCUGUAUGUAUAUACAUGACAGCAUGACCAAUGUGAUUCUGCAACCUGUACACUCAGAAAAAUGAGAAAUUAUACCCCAUCUGAUUCAAAUGUAUGAUAUGUCAAUAUCAUUGUACUGUCAUGUGUAAAUAAUUAAAACAAAUUAAAAAAAGAAAUCUUUAAAAAAAGAAAAGCAAUUGUUUUGUAUAAUGACAUAUCAAAGCUUAAGUUGAUAAAAAUUAAUUUUAA
RNAcentral lists this long non-coding RNA (745 nucleotides) under Marmota monax (woodchuck). The record is from RNAcentral. Lineage: Eukaryota; Metazoa; Chordata; Mammalia; Rodentia; Sciuridae.